RNAcentral lists this long non-coding RNA (980 nucleotides) under Marmota monax (woodchuck). Lineage: Eukaryota; Metazoa; Chordata; Mammalia; Rodentia; Sciuridae. The record is from RNAcentral.
AAAAGAGGCAAACUAAAGAUAAAACCAAUUAAUAGCAAAGGUAGUUAGGAGAUUCUCAGACCAGUGUACCAGAUGCUACUAUGAAAACAGGAUUCAAUAUGAACCAGGGGACAAAUAUGAAAAAAAUGCAAUUAGCACAGGAAACUCAAAGUCCAGCUUUCAUGCCUAAAAGCUAACCUGCUAUUGAUCUUUUCGGUUAUAGGAGACUAACAACUACUUUCAUUGGUUGAAUCAGCUUGAAUAGUGUUCCUACUUAUCCUGUGAAUAGUGCUGAUAUAUCUAUUUCCCAAAACAAAUGAGAGCAUUCAUUUUGAAGAUCUUCCUCUUCACUUUACUCUCAGCUCACAGUAAAUGCAGAUGUCUAAGACACUGAUUAGAAAGAAUUUCUCUCAGGUAGUGUCCCUGAGAGAAUCAAUGAGAGGAAUAAUUAAUCCCUCGUGCCCACUGUCUGAUAAAAAACUAUCUAUGUAAAAUAUAGAUGUAUAUUAAAAUAUACACAAUUUAAAAAAAAUCAGAUGUUAAAAAUAUUUUAUGUGAUUCUUUUGAAUUUAACCUUCAUGAGAUAUCACUAGAAUUUCUUUAAAACCCAAAACUUUAGUUUGGCAUUUACUUAGGUUGACUUGAGGUGGAAAAUGUUUGCUCUUUAAUUCUUCAUACAAAUAGCUAGGCAUAGUGAACUCUUUAUAUAUUUCCUGCAAUUAAUAAGUAGAUCACUUGGCAGUCAUUUAGAAAUGUAAAAAUGAAUAGUGAAAUACAAAAAGAUAAGCCUGAGAACCCCCAAAUCAUCCUACGAAAUUAAUGUGAUACUUCAAAAAAAAUAAAUUUAAAAAUGUGAGAUCAAUAUGCAAAUUAAUAUGCAAAUAUGUUAAAUCUCAUACAUCAAACCAAUGCUGUCAAAUAGAGGAUGUUGAAAUCCAUUGAGCAGCUACUUGUGCAUUUUUGCCCAUGCUUGCCCUCUGAAGUGAUAGCCUGAAAGGUGG